CACUUUUACUUUCUAGUGCUUGUGAAGUCUACACUUCGUCUUUUGUUCAAUAUUUUUUUCAAUAGUUUUAAGUGGUUGGGAUGGGAGAGUGAUAUUAAAAGACAUCGGUAUGCUAGUAUUUCCACCCCUGAACUGCAUAACCCGCACAUGUGUAACAGAUUAGCAGAUGGUCAAUGACAGAGAUUUUCAUUGGCUACGUAGUGUGAAACAAGGACAUGUUGAUUAGAGCUGGCAGCAGGCUCUCUCAGACGCACGCACGCACGCACACACACAUACAGACACACAGAAACACUCACUGGCCCCAGUUCAGUGCUACUAUUCCAUUCAUUCAGAACUGCAGCAGCCUCUUUACUCAAGCUUUGAUAUACAGAAAGCAAUGGCAGGACCAAGACCGGUGGUGCUGAGCGGGCCUUCCGGAGCAGGGAAGAGCACUCUGCUCAAGAGGCUUCUCAGAGAGUACGAAGGGGUGUUUGGCUUCAGUGUCUCACACACGACAAGGAACCCAAGACCUGGAGAAGAGAAUGGCAAGGGUAUGGAGACAAUGUAGUAAAGAAUAUUUAUAGUUAUAGUUAGAAUUUUUAAU
This is a long non-coding RNA of Polyodon spathula (Mississippi paddlefish), 583 nucleotides long. RefSeq lists it as uncharacterized. The transcript has 3 exons. Lineage: Eukaryota; Metazoa; Chordata; Actinopteri; Acipenseriformes; Polyodontidae. The record is from RefSeq and is a predicted model, not a curated record.